AUGGCAGUAAUGAAUGAUGACUACUUCGAGAGAUUGCAUUGGAUACGUGAGAGUACCAUGAUUUCUCUUCAAGAUUAUUCAGGUUUCUCUUCAAACAUCACUCUAGCAUAUGAAAGCGUAGCUUGGUUUUAUCAAUGGUUAGAUCGUCACACUGUUAAAUGUAACUAUUUGCCACUUAGUUUACAAACUAGCUAUGUUAUUCUAGUAGAUAAGUCCCUCUGUUUGAAUUAUGAGUGCCAAACAAUUACCGAAAAAAGCUUUCACCCCGCUUUAUAUAUAAAGCAACGAGUGCCAGACAAUUGCAUCACCUUGACAUGGAUUAAGCAGAUUGGCUGUAGAGUACAUGAAAACAUUCAAUGGCACUACCACAGGGUAGUUGCUUUAUAUAGAUAUGGCAUGAUAUAUGUAGAAGAUAUGCAUGUGAGGGUGAACAAUGGACCACAGUGCUACUAG
This 453-nucleotide ribosomal RNA is filed under the name Triticum aestivum (bread wheat). RNAcentral's name for it is "partial small subunit ribosomal RNA". Lineage: Eukaryota; Viridiplantae; Streptophyta; Magnoliopsida; Poales; Poaceae. The record is from RNAcentral.